GUCUGCAGCCAUACCACCCCAAAUGCGACCAAUCUUGUCUGCUCUCAGAAGCCAAGUAGGGUCAGGCCUUGUUGUGACU
Ribosomal RNA from Cercocebus atys (sooty mangabey), 79 nucleotides. NCBI's taxonomy places the organism in Eukaryota, Metazoa, Chordata, Mammalia, Primates, Cercopithecidae. The record is from Ensembl.